This is a long non-coding RNA of Camponotus floridanus (Florida carpenter ant), 1284 nucleotides long. RefSeq lists it as uncharacterized. The transcript is spliced from 4 exons. The record is from RefSeq and is a predicted model, not a curated record. Lineage: Eukaryota; Metazoa; Arthropoda; Insecta; Hymenoptera; Formicidae.
UAGCGCCGCUUGCUCGGCUCGCCUCGUAACUUUUCGGCUCUCUUCGGGCCGCCAUAUUUAUUUUCGCGUCGAGUACGACGUACUUCGCGCUUUUCGUCAUUUGUGAAAUCGGUCGUGCGGUAAAGUGUCCAGCAAUCGUCCUACGAUAUUAAUUGGCUCUCGACGAAGGUACGAAACUCCGACGUGAUUUUCAUUCACGACAUUCCUCGCGUUUGCGUCGUCAAUUCAUACAUCCUUUAUCACAACCUUCGUAGUCACUCGGCUAUUCAUAUUCGCAUCGCGUCUAUUUUAAACAUCUCCGAGACGUGCUUCUCGCAUUCUUUCCGAUGGAAUCUUCGAUUUCGAAAGUGUCGAAAGUGUCGAAUGUGACAUGAUGGUGUUAAUUACGGUGUGAUGUGUGAAAACGAUCGCGUUCCUUCGUAAAGUGCGAUACCGCGUACCUGUUGCGUCGCGACAGAUUAAAAUGUCGGGAAUGUCGAUUUAAAUUUUCGUUAUUCAUCGUUAUCAAGUGUGUGUUAUUAUCCUUGAGGAUGAAUCGGCAGCAGAAACAGCUCGAAUCAGUUGGUGAUACCACAGCACUGCAGUAAAUAUAGUGAUUCAGGACAAUAAUAAAGCAGAUACAACAAGCAGAUCCAGAACAGCAGCGAUUGAGCAUCAUUUGGUAAUCCUGGUCAACAGUAGCCAGGCUCGAGUACUCGGUGAAUACGCACAAUGCAUUCCAAUUACGACUAUUAUGUCGUGAUAAUUAUUGCGGCAUCUUCAAAGUUUCAAACAAUGGCAGCCGCCGACUUGUUCGAGGGGUGGUUCGGUGAUGCGGAAGCAAAGCGGAUGAAAAAGAGGAGGAUCGGAGAAGAGGCGAGAAAACGACGACGGUGUCGCCGAAUCUAAGACAGUGGUUCUUAAACCCAGUCAUCUCUCUCGGAUUCUCAAAUUAUCUGCUCGCAUAUAUUUGUACGUAAAAAUAUAAUACGAAAGCUAUUUUCAUGGAAAUGUACACUUUUUACUUGAUCGAUCGAUGAUGAAAGGUCACGUGUGCGCUUUCAAAAAUUCAACGCAUUCCUGACUGAUGCGUGACAACCUGUAUCAAGAACCACUGACUGAAGGAGCAGGGAGAAAAACGGAAGGAAGCUGAAUGAGUGCGGUUAAAGUCUUUGUGUCUCCUCGUUCUUGACAUUUCAAAGAUUAUUCCUUCAGUCUCUUAUAUAAUUCAUUUAUCUCCCGAUACUCUGUAUCCCUCUUACGCUUUGAACACUUCGCGCAACGGCAAUUCCAUAACAAACUAAA